AUGACUUCAUAUUUCUAUGUCUACAAUUCAGGAAAAGCUUGGGAUAACUGGGAAGUUAAAGAAGAGUACAAAAAUUACUGGAGAAAUCUAAGAAAUAAAGCUUGGAACCAAUAUAAAGAAAUAUCCCUUUGGACUCCAGAUGCUACUACGGACAUAAAACAAGCUAGUUUAAAAUCAUCAAAAAGCUUUGCUUCCAGAAAGUCCCAAAUUGGGCCUUUGUCCCUAAAUGUGCCCAUCUUAACUCACACUGCAUUGAAGCCAUGUUACUGUUACCUACACAUGAAAAAUAUAAUAACAACUUCCUGCCAAAACAUCAAGACCACUGAGCUGUCAAAUACAUCCUACACAAUUGUCAGGAAAGCAAAAGACAUGUGCUGUCAGUGUACGCAGUGCAUGUGAAUGGAACACUGCUGUCAUGUGUGCAGACUGCCUCAGGUGUGGUCAAUGAAGUAAAGGUCAUUUUUUGUAGAGGGUUCUUAGUAUUUUCAUUGUAGUUCUUAUGGGAAUUUAUUUCUGAUGUUAUUUUUUAGUCUUUGUAAACUGAAAAAGGUCAAUGUUAAAAAUGUUGAUGAUUUUUAUAACCACUCAGUAAUUAUUAAAAACUCAGUACUUCAUUUUUGUGAUACUUUUUCCUGUUAAUACUUUUCCUGUGAUACUUUUUCCAUUGCUUAAUAUAAUAAAAUUAAUAAAAUUAAAAUUAAUAGCCCAUCAAUGGAAAUAUUCUAAAGAACAAGUGUGGAUCUGACAGACUCAUAUUUAUGCACCUUGAUAACAAAAUUAGUCUUAUGCCCCAUUAACCCUCCACUACAUGAUCUUCCAGCCCCCACCUCACCACAUGUCUGGUCCAGAUUACAGUUUUGCCUUACUCCCUUACUCUCCACUCCUUUAUAAUACUCAGUAAAAGACAUAGUCUGAGUCCAUGUUCCUCUCUGUCUGUCAGACCUGAGCUCUUUCUCAGACCCACAGUCUGAACUCUCUUUCUUUAGAUUCUUAAAAAUCCCAGUUUUUCUCUAACUUGCUGGGAGUUAACUUUAAACCCCUUGAUUAGAGACUGCCCUUCCCUCCAGAAGGUUAAAUGGACUCCAUUUAGAACAACUACUUGCCUUUAACAGGGGACAACAGCUAUCAAAAGCAAUUUACACUUGUGUUAUACAUAUGCUGAGACUGAUAUAACUGAUCUUUUCUGGAUGUUCAACAAUUAAGGUUUACAAAUCAGAACUAGAGAGAUAACUGGGCUAAAAUAAAAAAAGUAGCCAAUAUUUUGGCCCAGGCCCCCAAAGUCAGAAAGGAUCAAGGACCUUUUAUACAAUAGCCUACAACUUUGGUGAGUCACCCAAUCUCCUGAGCAGGGAGAUUUCUGGACUCCAGAAGACAGAGUUGUACAAAUGUAUGGUGUGCCAAAGUAGGGUCACUGAGAGAGAAAAGUCUUCCAUGCUUUCACAGAAAACAAUAUGGUCAAGCAAGACCAUAACCUACCCUGGCAGCUGACACUCACAGAGGAGCUGAAAGGCUCUUACGUGGUUCCAAGGAAAAUACCUGAAGAGGCUUACCUGACCUUGAUAAACAGCAAAAAGUCAAUUUUGAUUAGCACAGGUCUCAUUUUAAGUUGGUUUUAAACACCCAGUAGAACAAUAUAAUCAAAAGAGAUAAACUUUUGUCAUCUGUCUAUCUGCCUUCCAAAGUAGUGGUUGUUCAAUAUAGAGGACACACGUCCACUGCUCCUUCUCUCUCUCCUAAAUAAAAAUAAAAUUAAUGAGACAAGCUAUCCUCCAAAAUCAGAUGGCCUUAGACAUUCCA
Molecule: long non-coding RNA, 1797 nt
Filed under: Chinchilla lanigera (long-tailed chinchilla)
Lineage: Eukaryota; Metazoa; Chordata; Mammalia; Rodentia; Chinchillidae
Description: lncRNA (ENSCLAG00000025876.1)
Source: RNAcentral